This 448-nucleotide ribosomal RNA is filed under the name uncultured bacterium. RNAcentral describes it as "bacterial SSU rRNA". It matches the Rfam family "Bacterial small subunit ribosomal RNA", at positions 29 to 507 of the family's 1533-position model. The record is from RNAcentral.
ACGAACGCUGGCGGCGUGCUUAACACAUGCAAGUCGAGGGUAGCAAUACACUGGCGCAAGGGUGCGUAACGCGUAGAUUAUCUGCCCCAUACACUAACAUAACGCUUGGAAACGGGUGCUAAUAUUAGAUGAGGUGCUUCGGCAUCAAAGUUUCGACGGUAUGGGAUGAGUCUGCGUCUGAUUAGCUAGUUGGUAGUGUAAUGGACUACCAAGGCGACGAUCAGUAGCUGGUCUGAGAGGACGAUCAGCCACACUGGAACUGAGACGCGGUCCAGACUCCUACGGGAGGCAGCAGUGAGGAAUUUUGCGCAAUGGACGAAAGUCUGACGCAGCGACGCCGCGUGUGGGAUGAAGGGGCUACGCCCUGUAAACCACUGUUAGAUGUGAAAAAAAGAUGGCUUUGCCGUCCGGGAUUGUAACAUCAAAGAAAGGACCGGCUAACUACGUG